This 303-nucleotide ribosomal RNA is filed under the name uncultured bacterium. RNAcentral describes it as "bacterial SSU rRNA". It matches the Rfam family "Bacterial small subunit ribosomal RNA", at positions 355 to 674 of the family's 1533-position model. The record is from RNAcentral.
UCGGGAAUAUUGCGCAAUGGAGGAAACUCUGACGCAGUGACGCCGCGUAUAGGAAGAAGGUUUUCGGAUUGUAAACUAUUGUCCACAGGGAAGAUUUAAGACUGUACCUGUGAAGAAAGCUCCGGCUAACUACGUGCCAGCAGCCGCGGUAAUACGUAGGGAGCAAGCGUUAUCCGGAAUUAUUGGGUGUAAAGGGUGCGUAGACGGGAUAACAAGUUGGUUGUGAAACCCCUCGGCUUAACUGAGGAACUGCAACCAAAACUAUUAUUCUUGAGUGCAGGAGAGGAAAGUGGAAUUCCUAGU